CCUACGGUAGACAGCAGUGAGGAAUAUUGGUCAAUGGACGCAAGUCUGAACCAGCCAUGCCGCGUGCAGGAAGACGGCUCUAUGAGUUGUAAACUGCUUUUGUACGAGGGUAAACGCAGAUACGCGUAUCUGUCUGAAAGUAUCGUACGAAUAAGGAUCGGCUAACUCCGUGCCAGCAGCCGCGGUAAUACGGAGGAUUCAAGCGUUAUCCGGAUUUAUUGGGUUUAAAGGGUGCGUAGGCGGUCGGAUAAGUUAGAGGUGAAAUCCCGAGGCUCAACUUCGGAAUUGCCUCUGAUACUGUUCGGCUAGAGAGUAGUUGCGGUAGGCGGAAUGUAUGGUGUAGCGGUGAAAUGCUUAGAGAUCAUACAGAACACCGAUUGCGAAGGCAGCUUACCAAGCUACUUCUGACGUUGAGGCACGAAAGCGUGGGGAGCAAACAGGAUUAGAUACCCCAGUAGUC
This 460-nucleotide ribosomal RNA is filed under the name uncultured bacterium. Its description in RNAcentral is "partial 16S ribosomal RNA". It matches the Rfam family "Bacterial small subunit ribosomal RNA", at positions 338 to 795 of the family's 1533-position model. The record is from RNAcentral.